UUCAAAGUCAAAUCAAUGGCUUGAAUGCAGAUUUAUCUACACAGAUGCCACAAGGAUCUUACACACUUUCUAUUAUUUAAAAAACAACAACCAGCAUUAAAUUGUCCUGCCAUAGCAAGAGGGGUCCUGCCAGACUGCCAUGGAACCAAGGACAAUACAGGUGGGAAAAUCUUUUAAACCUGACUCAUUUUAGAUUUCAAAAAUACUUCUGACAUUCUUAUGCCAGCACCACAGGCCUGCAUAAGUGAGAGUAUGAGAAAGUUCAUUUCAGUACAGGGAUGAUGAUUUGGGUGUAUUUGAAAGUAAUUACAGAUAACAGAGCUAGAAAGAAGCUGGAAAACAUCCAAAAGAAAGUUCCUUUUCACAAAAAAACUAAUAUAUGGAAGAUGCAGAGCCUUCUGAUGUUUUGUAUAACCUUUUUAAAGUUACUUCAAAGUUCCUAAGGCUGAAGAAUACACCUCUUGGAAGAAUUUUCACAGCCCUUUAAAUUAGGGAUAAAAAAAUGUAAGUCCAUAGGACUAAAUAAUGUGGUUUGUAAUACACAGAAAUGUGUGUGCCCUCUGAAACACUCAGCAAAGAGAUCAAGAGUCAAUAAUGGUUUCUUCAGCUUUUUACAUGGAAAGCAGUUUAGAAGCAAGGUGUCAGUCUCAUGGAAAUCAUCACAUGGAAAUUACUGCUGAAUUCAGGCACAAAAUUAAUAACAGGAGCAGUGUAGAAUCAGUUGAGAUUCUUUAGUUUUUUGAAAAUGUUAUCCAAUUAUUGUUUGGCACCCCUUUAAAUUUGUGGAACAUAAAACCUCCCUUGUUAUUCUGUACACUCAGGUAGUAUUUGAGUCUAAUGGAUUUUCACCUUUUCUUUGCAAUUAGGUUUUGUCAGUUAUUUGUAAUUUUGUCACCUGCAGAAUGGAUUACACCAUCAUAUAGGGCAAGCACAGAGGGACCUUUGGCACCACCAGUCUGACUGCAGAGGAGUUCUGACCAAUGUGCCCACACCACACUCAGACUCUGCCCAUUGCUUUUGAGACCCCUCCAGUUCUUGGCUGUCUACUUUUAUCUUUAAUCAGAAGUUUUCAGUGGCAGUUCUUUCUUCGUGUAUCUGUGCAUGACAUUAAAAGAGACUGCGGCGUACGGAGCCAGAGCUGUAAAGGAGCUAAAUCAGACUUACUGAGAGGACAGGAACAGAGCAUGGCCUGCCCAGGAGCCAGCAGCCAGGAGC
Molecule: long non-coding RNA, 1215 nt
Organism: Oenanthe melanoleuca
Lineage: Eukaryota; Metazoa; Chordata; Aves; Passeriformes; Muscicapidae
Exons: 3
Source: RefSeq, a predicted model, not a curated record